CCUCUUGUAAGGGCCCCAAGCCGGAAUUCCUUUUAGGUGCCAGAGCAAAUACCCCGGAGGACGAGGCGCGGGGUAGAGCACGUUUUCAUAUAAAACGAAAGACUUUUAAGAUUAGCACUUUUUCUCACUUGAAGAGUAUUUUCCCUGGCAAAAGCAUCUAGCUGAACUGAUCAACUAUAGGGUAGAUUCAAACUGUGCGGUUUGUGAAUAUUUUUGGCCCCACAUACAGCACCUUCUUCAUUUUUUGGAGGACAGAAACAAACUAAUCUUGAUUAUUGCACCCACGCUCUUUUCGCCCUGCGUGUGUAGACAAAGACAUUAUUUAAUCUGACUACGGAAUUCUCUGUGCUUCUCUCCCAGGAGCUUUUGGACCAGGAUGGGUGAGGCCUCGAGCGCCUUCCUCUCUGGGCGCGCAGUUUCCCGUUCAGGGGAACGUUCUCGUCACUUUCCUCUUGACGGGAGGGGUGGUCAGGGUGCUAGCGCGCUCACGGCUUCAAGGAGCUGUGCAAGGGCGACUACUACGUUCCCAGUGUCCAAGCCUCAUGAAGCCGCUUUGUUAUGGGGCUUGAGAGACCUAGUUCAAAUCUUGCAUUUCAUUUUUGAGAGUUCCUACCAAUUGCCAGGGCCUGGGCUGGGCAAGCGGGGGGCGGUGGGGUGGGGUUCGGACAAGAGAGGUGGAUACUUAGAAGACUUUAUUGAGAAAUCUAAUUUUUGAAUAAAUUACAAGCCGGGCGUGCGGGGCGGGGCGGGGGGGGGGGGGGGGGGGAGGGCACACGGAGAAAAGCGCAGAGGUGAAUGUCCGCGGAGGAGUGCGGUUCAGUAACCGGAGAGACGCUGGCUGUUCCUGGCAAGGCAACGAGGGCCCUGUUCCACUUGUUUCGGAGCUCUCAACACUAUCUGGACCGAAAGCGACAGCCUCAAACACUUUUUAAGCACUUUAGACAAGCCUGAUGUCUACACCAUCAUUUUUGGAGAAGCUGUCAACUCUGACAAAUGAAGGAAAGCGGAAGGCAGGCGAGCCGCACCUGCGAAAAGGCCUGGAAUUCCAGGGCCAACCCCGCCCAUCUGUUCUUUUCUAAGAGUACUUGGACCCUGCUUGAUUGUUUGAGAUCCAGCGAUUGGAUUUUCUGAAAGUAAAUCUCAGAAAUGGAAAUUCACGCUCAUUACCUUGCACAAACAUUUUUAAUUUCUGAGUGGCCUGCAUUGAGCCUAGAGGCAAGAAUCCUUGCUGGAGCCAUAGUCUAGCCUGUAAAAGCCGAAAACCUUCCGCUGAGGGUAGAAAGGCAAUAAUUUAGACACACAGAGAAAAAUCCUAGCUGGAAGACAAGAAAAAACGCUCCAAGUGAAGUUAGAAAAUUUACCUUUGUAUAAAAAUCCUUUGAACAUUAUUGGACGGCAAAUUACCUGUAAAAGAUGUAUGAGAAAAUCAAGGAAAUGUGGAGACCAGAUGUUUGAUGCCAUCAAAGCAUCGGUGUCAAUUUUUAAGGUUACUUUCCCUCGGGCAAGAGGAUGACUUCAGGGGGAGACCAGACCCUCGCGGGUCUCCUAAGGCCCCACCCCGUGACUCAGUUCGCCUGCGUGCAGCCCACCUGCUCCGGGUUCUCCCUCCUGCGGCCGCCAGAAGGAUGCACCCUAUCGCAGUCAGAGGCAGCUGCGUAAAGCCAGACAUUGCUCCUUCCCACGGACAAUGGGCAACCCCCAAAGAAUUAUAGCCUCUGUGCCAGGACGCCCUGCUACCUGCAUUGCGGCGGGGGGGACAGGGCACUUCCACCGAGCUGCCCGAAGAACGUGCUAUGUUGUCUGUAAAUAAUUGCAAUUUUAUUUCAUUUAUGUCAAUGCCAUUUUGAAGAGAAGUGGUUAGAACAGACAUCCUUUCUCCAUUCCUGGUCUCAAAGAGAAAGCUUUCCAUAUUUCACCACUAAAUAUAGUGUUUGCUGCAGGUUUUCCAUAGAUUCUCCUUUUCCCCUCCUUAAGCAGGUUCCUUCGUAUUUCGUUGUCUUCUGUUGUUCCUGUUGAAAAGUCAGAUGUCAGUCUAAGUGUUGUUCCUUUGAAUGUAACGUGUGGUUAAGAUUUUUUUUUUUUUUUUGUCUUUGGUUUCCAUCAGUUUUAUGAUUUACCUAGAAAUAAUUUUCUUUAUAUUUAUCCUGCUUGGAGUUGAUAAGAGUUGAUAGAGUCUGUGGUUUGAUGUCUUCUGUCGGUUUUGGAAAAUUCUCAGUCUGUCUGUCUUCAGUUAUUGCUUCUCCCUGUCCUCUCCAUCAUCUCUUCUCCACUCCAGUUACACUUAUGUUGGAUCUUUACACUGUAUUUCACAUGUAUCUUAUCCACUUUUCUGUAUUUUUCAUCCUUGAGAAGAUUUAGUCUGGCAUUCAGACCAAAUUUGACUUUCCUUUUCUCUUCGGCAUAGUCCUUCUGGGGUCUCAUUUGAAAGUCUGGGAUAUUUACCUGAGCUCUUCCUCUCUGGCAGGCCCUGGAUUCUAAUUUUGUCAUCUUCACCACCACAAGACUUACGUUAGUUUUCCGGGAUUGCCAUAACAAAUUACCACAAACUUGGUGGCUAAAAACAACAGAAAUUUAUUUUCUCAGUUCUGGAGGCCAGCAAUCAAGGUGUCAUCAGGGCCAUGCUCCCUCUGAAGGCUUUAGAGAAGAAUUCUUCCUUGCGUCUUCCAUCUUCCAGUGACCCAGGACAUUCCUUGGCUUGUGGCUGCAUCACUCCAGUCUCUGCCUCCAUUGUCACAUGACCUUCCCCUGUGUGUCUCUGUGUCCUCAUCUCUUCUUACAAGGACACCAGUCACUGGAUUUAGGACACACUCUUAAUCAGGAUAAUUUCAUCUCAAGAUACUUAAUUAAUUACAUGUCCAAAUAAGAUCACUUGCUGAGGUUCUGGGCAGACACAAAUUUUGGGGUUCCACUGUUCAACCCACAACAAGACUCUUGAAAGUUCUGCUUCAAUUUUUGACCUCUUUAUUGCAAUUUUAUGAUUUGUUUUUCAGCUCUGUGCAGCAAAGACCUCAAGCAAAACCCACACAGAAUGUCAAGCUCGUAUCUCUGCAGGUCAUCUUUUUUUUUUUUUUUUUCCUGGGAUUUUUACCCCUCAAGUACUAACUACCUUGGCAAUCCUAAACUCAUUUUUUCUUCUUCCCAGUUUAAUGAGACUGAUGCAAACUUCAGGUUGCUGCUUUUCAUUCAUCCUCUGUUGCCUGUGCUUCAAACUGGCAAAUGUUCCAAGGGAAAAAGUAGUGGCCAGUGUGGGGUCCAGCUCAAUGCACUUCUCUCCACUCCAGGAUCUCUCCAGGAUUGCGUCCUGGGUGUCUCAGUUGUUCUCUGAUGCGUUCAGCAGCUGUCUUUCAUAUUUUAUCCAGCUUUUAUAGUUGCUCCUAGCACAGAGUUUGCUCUGACAUUUCUUCAAAAAUAGAAAUAGAAGUCAAAUAUGGCAUUUCUUUUGUUCUAGGCUCAUGUCUCCACACUGCCAGGGGAACCUCUCAGGUGCGUUGCUUUUGGAAACCCACUGAUUGAGGGAUGUGCCUCUUUUCCCCCCUCCUUUUUACUGUGUUUAGAGAGAGACACACCUGUAAGAUCUCCUUUAUUCUCUGUGUCUGUGGCUGCUCAGGGCAGGGAUGCUUCUGCAAUGUAAAGAAAUAAAUAGUGAGAAAGGACUUGGGAAAUAGUGGGACAUAUCAGAGCUACGUGGGGCUCUUGUCACCUUCUUCCUGUAUAGGAUCCUUAAGAAAAUCUUGCUAUCAGGCAUACAAAAGGGAAAACUGCAUGAAUAAGCCACAUGGUAUGACCUUUCCGUGCUGAGGUCUGAGCUACCAGAGCAGCGGAGGAGUUAUGUCCAUCAGGGUGUGUUUCUCAAAGUGAGCUUUUCGAGAAGGUGGUAUGGAUGGUACACAUUUUACCUGAUAUAAUCCUCAAAUCCUAUAGUAUAGGUAUUAUUACUACUCUAUUUUAUAGAUGAGGAAAGUGAGGCUCAGGGAAGUAGUUAUCCUGCAGCCUACCUCUGGGUAGAUGCUGUUUAACCUAAAGCCCUCUCUUACAUUGCCUUUCAUUUAUUCCUUUGGUAAAACCACAUUUUAAACUACAAAAUGCAAACUUCUAUGGAACUGAACUCAAUGAAAUGAAUGAGACUUUUUGUAAUUUCUAAUUUUUAUAUAAUUUCAAACUUACAGAAGUGUUGCAAGAAUAGAAUGAGGAACUCUCUUAUACCCCUUACCCAGAUUCACCAGUUGUUUACAUUUCCUCCCAUUGAUUAUUCAUUCUCUCUCUCUGAAUCAUUUGAAAACAAAUUGGAGUCAUCAUGCUGCUUCAACCCCCAAAUACUUUAGUGUGUAUUUUCCUAGAACAAGAAUAUUCUCAUACAUAACCUCAUAACAAUUAUUAAAAUUAAGAAAUUUACUGUGGUAACACUACUAUUGUUUAAUCCAGAGUUUAUAUUCACAUUUCAUCAAUUUUCCCAAUAAUGUUCUUUAUAACUUUUUCCCCUCAGAUCCAGGAUCCAAUCCAGGAUCACGUGUUCCAUGUAAUGGUCAUGUCUCAUUAGUUUCCUUUCAUCUGAAACGGUUCCUCUGCCUUUCUGUCCGAUCUUCCUCAUGAUUAGCUCCAGAUAGUGCUUCACUGCCAUUAGUGCCGUGUUUUCAUUGCAUCCUGCAAAAUGGUGCAUGACUUUCAUUGCCCCAUUGCUAUUGAUGUUACAUUUGAUCAUUUGAUUAAGGUGAUAUCUAUCAGGCUUCUCCACUGUAAAUUAAUCCUAUUCCUUUUUGUAAUUAAUAGGU
Equus quagga is the source of this 4769-nucleotide long non-coding RNA. RefSeq lists it as uncharacterized. NCBI's taxonomy places the organism in Eukaryota, Metazoa, Chordata, Mammalia, Perissodactyla, Equidae. The record is from RefSeq and is a predicted model, not a curated record. The transcript is spliced from 4 exons.